UGGCAUUUUACAUGGUUGACCACUACCGG
Molecule: non-coding RNA, 29 nt
Filed under: Rattus norvegicus (Norway rat)
Lineage: Eukaryota; Metazoa; Chordata; Mammalia; Rodentia; Muridae
Source: RNAcentral